Molecule: ribosomal RNA, 468 nt
Filed under: uncultured bacterium
Lineage: Bacteria
Description: partial 16S ribosomal RNA
Rfam family: Bacterial small subunit ribosomal RNA
Source: RNAcentral
GACGAACGCUGGCGGCGUGCUUAACACAUGCAAGUCGAACGGAAAGGCCCUGCUUUUGUGGGGUGCUCGAGUGGCGAACGGGUGAGUAACACGUGAGUAACCUGCCCUUGACUUUGGGAUAACUUCAGGAAACUGGGGAUAACACCGGAGAGGAGCUCGUGCUGCAGGGGGGGGUUGGGAGAUUUUCGGCGGGUGGGGAUGGACUCGCGGUUUAUGAGCUUGUUGGUGGGGUAGUGGCUUACCCAGGCUUUGACGGGUAGCCGGCCUGAGAGGGUGACCGGCCACAUUGGGACUGAGAUACGGCCCAGACUCCUACGGGAGGCAGCAGUGGGGAAUAUUGCACAAUGGGCGGAAGCCUGAUGCAGCAACGCCGCGUGCGGGAUGACGGCCUUCGGGUUGUAAACCGCUUUCGCCUGUGACGAAGCGUGAGUGACGGUAAUGGGUAAAGAAGCACCGGCUAACUACGUG